GUACUUGUCAUGGCAGCACAUAUACUAAAAUAGGAAAGAUGAAGAGAAUAUUAGUAUGACCCCUGCACAAGGAUAACAUGCAAAUUUGUGAUGUGUUUCAUAUUUUU
This 107-nucleotide small nuclear RNA is filed under the name Merops nubicus (carmine bee-eater). The record is from RNAcentral. Lineage: Eukaryota; Metazoa; Chordata; Aves; Coraciiformes; Meropidae.